UUUCAGUAACUGACUGCUGCAAGCAGAGCAGAGGCAGUCUCAGGGCCAGGCUGAGACUUGGGGACAUCCAUCACUGGUGACUUCAAAGAGGAUUCUGGUUGCCUUUUUCUAGUAGAUAAAGCAGGGCCACAGGCUGUGUCUGAGUGCCAGCCUGUGACCACCUGUGCUCUCUAACAGAAAAUGAAGAGCUUGCCCUCAUCAGCUGGCUUUGGACCCAAACACAUCCUGGACCCAAGCAAAUGAGCUCUGCAAAGGGACUGAGUGGCAGCAGAACUGUGGACUUCCCCUCCUUGUGUGUGGACCACCAGCUGACAUGUAGUAGUUGCUGAGUCGAGAUGCCCUCAGAGGCAAUGGGCCCUUGCCCAGUGGGGGUACCACACAGAAAGGUGCCAUCGGGUCUCGGGACUGUCCCUCCCUGCUGCACUGGGUGCUCCCUGCCAUGCCAUGUUGGGCCAAGUGGCACCAGCACAUCUGCCAAGCUGUCAGCAUGCCCUCUGCAGGCUGCUCCACAGCAGUAACCUGGAGGUGAAGACAAGACAAGUGGCUGGGGUGACAGCCCCAAGACAAACCAGCCCCAGGGGCUGCCCUCUGUUCCAAGCUGAAUCUCGCCCUUUGUCCACCCAUCCUGGACACAAACAGGCUUGUCUUGCCCAUCUCUGUUUCUCACACCAUUGGGUCACAGAUGUGUUUAUUGUGGGCAGUGGCAAGGAAACAAGGCUCCAUUUACAGCCCCGUUUCCUCCUCUCCUGUUUGCUAUAACAGCCCAAGGUAUUCAGGGGCUGAGGCAGCACAGUGCUCGCUCACACCUUUGUCCUCCCCAGGCAGCAGAGCACACACCACAGCUGGAAGGACUUGUGCUAUGUGGUGCCAGUAAUUGUGCCUCCCUGGGAAAGCCUCUCCCACUGUCCCCCAGCAACUGGAAGGACUGAACACAACAAUUAUUUGUCUCUUACUUCUCUGUUAUAAAGUGUUUUAAACAAGAA
Pogoniulus pusillus (Red-fronted tinkerbird) is the source of this 983-nucleotide long non-coding RNA. RefSeq lists it as uncharacterized. The transcript has 2 exons. The record is from RefSeq and is a predicted model, not a curated record. NCBI's taxonomy places the organism in Eukaryota, Metazoa, Chordata, Aves, Piciformes, Lybiidae.